ACGAACGCUGGCGGCGUGCUUAACACAUGCAAGUCGAACGGUGAAGCGCCUUCCUUUUUGGUGGGUGUGGAUGAGUGGCGAACGGGUGAGUAACACGUGAGUAACCUGCCCCCUUCUUCUGGAUAACCGCAUGAAAGUGUGGCUAAUACGGGAUAUUCUGGGUCUGUCGCAUGAUGGGUCUGGGAAAGAUAUUGUUUCGGUGGGGGAUGGGCUCGCGGCCUAUCAGCUUGUUGGUGGGGUGAUGGCCUACCAAGGCGGUGACGGGUAGCCGGCCUGAGAGGGUGGACGGGCACACAGGGACUGAGACACGGCCAAGACUGCUACGGGAGGCAGCAGUGGGGAAUAUUGCACAAUGGGCGAAAGACUGAUGCAGCGACGCCGAGUGAGGGAUGGAGGCCUGCGGGUUGUGAACCUCUUUCGCCAGUGAAGCAGGCCUGCCUCGUAUGUGGGUGGGUUGACGGUAGCUGGAGAAGAAGCGCCGGCUAACUACGUG
RNAcentral lists this ribosomal RNA (493 nucleotides) under uncultured bacterium. RNAcentral describes it as "partial 16S ribosomal RNA". It matches the Rfam family "Bacterial small subunit ribosomal RNA", at positions 29 to 507 of the family's 1533-position model. The record is from RNAcentral.